GAUGAACGCUGGCGGCGUGCCUAAUACAUGCAAGUCGAGCGAACAGAUAAGGAGCUUGCUCCUUUGACGUUAGCGGCGGACGGGUGAGUAACACGUGGGUAACCUACCUAUAAGACUGGAAUAACUCCGGGAAACCGGGGCUAAUGCCGGAUAACAUUUAGAACCGCAUGGUUCUAAAGUGAAAGAUGGUGUUUCUAUCACUUAUAGAUGGACCCGCGCCGUAUUAGCUAGUUGGUAAGGUAACGGCUUACCAAGGCAACGAUACGUAACCGACCUGAGAGGGUGAUAGGCCACACUGGAACUGAGACACGGUCCAGGCUCCUACGGGAGGCAGCAGUAGGGAAUCUGCCGCAAUGGGCGAAAGCCUGACGGAACAACGCCGCGUGAGUGAUGACGGUCUUCGGAUCGUAAAACUCUGUUAUUAGGGAAGAACAAAUGUGUAAGUAACUGUGCACGUCUUGACGGUACCUAAUCAGAAAGCCACGGCUAACUACGUG
This 497-nucleotide ribosomal RNA is filed under the name uncultured bacterium. RNAcentral describes it as "partial 16S ribosomal RNA". It matches the Rfam family "Bacterial small subunit ribosomal RNA", at positions 28 to 507 of the family's 1533-position model. The record is from RNAcentral.